Molecule: ribosomal RNA, 435 nt
Filed under: uncultured bacterium
Lineage: Bacteria
Description: bacterial SSU rRNA
Rfam family: Bacterial small subunit ribosomal RNA
Source: RNAcentral
AACGAACGCUGGCGGCAUGCCUAACACAUGCAAGUCGAACGAGGCCCUUCGGGGUUUAGUGGCGCACGGGUGCGUAACGCGUGGGAAUCUGCCCUUUGGUUCGGAAUAACAGCUGGAAACGGCUGCUAAUACCGGAUGAUGACGAAAGUCCAAAGAUUUAUCGCCAGAGGAUGAGCCCGCGUUGGAUUAGGUAGUUGGUGGGGUAAAGGCCUACCAAGCCGACGAUCCAUAGCUGGUCUGAGAGGAUGAUCAGCCACACUGGGACUGAGACACGGCCCAGACUCCUACGGGAGGCAGCAGUGGGGAAUAUUGGACAAUGGGCGCAAGCCUGAUCCAGCAAUGCCGCGUGAGUGAUGAAGGCCCUAGGGUUGUAAAGCUCUUUUACCCGGGAAGAUAAUGACUGUACCGGGAGAAUAAGCCCCGGCUAACUCCGCG